CAUACACACAUUGCCAUCCUGUGGCAGGAUGCUGCCAGCACAAGUGCUUGCGAGAAGGCUGCAGGAGGAGGUCCGGCGAACUGAGCGCUGCUUUUUCACGACACAGACAAAAUAGGGCUUUAUAAUGGCUGUGGGCUCAAGCUAGAGGGUGCAAAUCCAACCGUGUUUUUGAAGCUUUGCAGCUCACGGGCCGUUAGAUAAGUGGUCCAGCCGACUGCUGAAAAAUACCAGUGUAAUACUGAGGUGCAGGUAAGGAAAAAAGAAACUUGAGGAGGAGGGGAAGAGAACAUCAGGCUUUGAAAUCUUCAGGGGAAACAGAAAUGGCCACUGACUUGAGCCCAACACAGGGCAUCAAGGAGCAACAAAUCGACCAGGGAAGUGUAAGCACAAAGGAGAAGCCUCGACAUGAUAGAUGACCCAAAGCCCUCUGGAAAACUUGACCCCCCUACCAGAAGGCAGUCGGAAGAAGGGCAUGACAUGACAAAGGUGAGUGAUAGGAGAGAGAAAGCAGAGGCUGGGUGGGAGCCUGAGGGCUGCUGGCACGUUUCAGAAAGUUGCCCUGGGUGUUACAUCCAGCCCUCCGUGGCCGCAGAGAGGGAUGUGCAAACCUAGCAAGGCUGUGUUUUGGCUGCCUAUCUCUUUUGGCCUCACAGAAGGGGCAAUAUUCCCUCUGCAACUGCUUAGGAAGGCAAAAGGAAAAUGUUGAUUAGCACUCAGAAAAGGAAGUGGCUUAUUUUGCCUGAUUAUAAUCAUGGGAACUUUGUUCCCUCUGCUCCAGUAACCACAUUGGUAGCAUUAACUGGAAAGCUAAGUAACUGGUAAAGAAACCACCAAAUCAAACGUAAUCUCAUACUGCUUGCACAAUUUUCCUUGAAUGGACAUACAAGGAACCUUCACUUUCUUCCUACAUUAGGCUCCCCACUUGCCCCCCAGAAGCCAUUUGUCAUCUUCUUAUUGGGUCACAAUCUGCCUCUUUUUCCCACGGGGGACUGUCAGAAGGUUGCACAGGUUUGCACAAGAGUGCUUGAGAGCUCAGGCUGGGCCGGUGAUGUCCAGUGGCUGUCAGCCCAAUGCCAUUAUGUAGACCGUUGCUGCUAUCCUGCAAGAAUGCAAAGAAAAUUUCUUUUCCCCUGUUGUCCUCGAAGCCAACACAAGAAGAAAAAGGCAGCAACUUGGCGGCUUUAAAAAACAAAGAAAUCUUAGCGAAAUUUUCAAGCUCCAUCUUGCAUAGCGGAGACUACUGAUGCUUAUUAGAAGACCAUGUGGGAAAGUGAUUUUGUUUGGAAGAUGCAAAUAGAAAAGAAUAAUUAAAAGGUAACAGAAGAUUGGUCUAUUUAGUGCUGAAACAGACACCCUUGGAUUAGGAGCACCAAAUAAAAUUAGUCUGAAAAAUA
Molecule: long non-coding RNA, 1394 nt
Organism: Gallus gallus (chicken)
Lineage: Eukaryota; Metazoa; Chordata; Aves; Galliformes; Phasianidae
Exons: 2
Source: RefSeq, a predicted model, not a curated record